This 264-nucleotide long non-coding RNA is filed under the name Phoenix dactylifera (date palm). RNAcentral's name for it is "long non-coding RNA (PDAC_LNC011271)". Lineage: Eukaryota; Viridiplantae; Streptophyta; Magnoliopsida; Arecales; Arecaceae. The record is from RNAcentral.
AAGAUUGUAUCUUCAACUCUUGGCUCUGCUUCAACUUCGCCAUAUCAGUCAUAUGACUCUGCCUCAUCUCCUCUAUCCUUGUCUCAUAUGACUGCUUUAUCUGUGCCAUCUCUGUCUUCAAACUACAAACCUCUGCAGUGCUAGUACCUUGUCUGGCAUCUUGGGUAUAUCGGCUCACUGCAGACAGCUGAGUGGGGGUAACUCCGACACCGUAACCCCUCACGCGACCAUAACGUUCUGGGCCCAUCAAUUCGGCGUAGACCU